Molecule: ribosomal RNA, 210 nt
Filed under: uncultured prokaryote
Description: partial 16S ribosomal RNA
Source: RNAcentral
UGGCGCCACCAGCAAGAGCAGAAGCAAUACCGCCAGCAAUAGCACCAAACAUAAAUCACCUCACUUAAGUGGCUGGAGACAAAUAAUCUCUUUAAUAACCUGAUUCAGCGAAACCAAUCCGCGGCAUUUAGAAGCGGUAAAGUUCGACCAAACCAUGAAACCAACAUAAACAUUAUUGCCCGGCGGACGGGGAAGGACGUCAAUAGUCAC